Non-coding RNA from Cinara cedri, 233 nucleotides. The record is from the annotation of a GenBank genome assembly. NCBI's taxonomy places the organism in Eukaryota, Metazoa, Arthropoda, Insecta, Hemiptera, Aphididae.
CGAGAGUCUCGCGUGACAGACGGGUCAAUUGCGCGCGAGAUGUCAUCGAUCUGUUAACUUAUUGACGACGCGUAUAAAUAAUAAUAAUAGUAAAAAAAAAAAAAAAAAAAAACCAUAAUAAAAACGCCGGCACCGAAAGGAAAAUAAAAAUAUAUAUAUUUAUGCGCAAAUUUGCAGUUCUUUUCACGUGUUGCUCCGUUAGAAAUACGCGCCGUUUUCAGACGAUCCGUGAC